Non-coding RNA from Acanthosepion pharaonis, 113 nucleotides. The record is from the annotation of a GenBank genome assembly. NCBI's taxonomy places the organism in Eukaryota, Metazoa, Mollusca, Cephalopoda, Sepiida, Sepiidae.
UACGGCCACAACACAUUGAAACACCAGUUCCUGUAUGAUCACCGAAGUUAAGCAACAUCGAGUCUGGUCAGUACCUGAAUGGGUGAAUGCUUGGGAAUACCAGGUGCUGUAAG